This 488-nucleotide ribosomal RNA is filed under the name uncultured bacterium. Its description in RNAcentral is "bacterial SSU rRNA". It matches the Rfam family "Bacterial small subunit ribosomal RNA", at positions 501 to 987 of the family's 1533-position model. The record is from RNAcentral.
CUACGUGCCAGCAGCCGCGGUAAUACGUAGGGCGCGAGCGUUGUCCGGAAUUAUUGGGCGUAAAGAGCUUGUAGGCGGUUUGUCGCGUCUGCUGUGAAAGGCCGGGGCUUAACUCCGUGUAUUGCAGUGGGUACGGGCAGACUAGAGUGCAGUAGGGGAGACUGGAAUUCCUGGUGUAGCGGUGGAAUGCGCAGAUAUCAGGAGGAACACCGAUGGCGAAGGCAGGUCUCUGGGCUGUAACUGACGCUGAGAAGCGAAAGCAUGGGGAGCGAACAGGAUUAGAUACCCUGGUAGUCCACGCCCUAAACGAUGUCGAUUAGCUGUUGGGCAGCUUGACUGCUUAGUAGCGUAGCUAACGCGUGAAAUCGACCGCCUGGGGAGUACGGUCGCAAGAUUAAAACUCAAAGGAAUUGACGGGGACCCGCACAAGCGGUGGAUGAUGUGGAUUAAUUCGAUGCAACGCGAAGAACCUUACCUGGUCUUGACAU